AGCCACCCUUUAAAGAAAGCGUAACAGCUCGUUGAUCCAGUUUUGUCGCGCUGAAAAUGUAUAGAGACUCAAAAUAUUAACCGAAACGGCGAAUUUUAAAUGAAAAUGGUAGCGGAACGUUCUGUAUUUUUUAGAAGGCAAGUUGUAAAAUUUGCUGGAGAAAUCAGAAGCGAGUAUACUGGCAUGAGUAGCGAUAAAUAAUGUGAAAAACAUUAUCACCGUAAAUCCAAGGGUUUCGUAGCACGGCUAAUCCGCUACGAUAAAAUUGUAAAAUUUUACAAAAAGACGGCCUCUAAGAAAUGUUAAGCGAAAGCUUGCUUCAAUGAGUAAUAUUUGUAUUUUUCUUAAAGUAUGUGACGGAGUUUAAAGCUUAUUAAAUUUAUUUAGUUUGUAAAAAUUUCCAAGAAAUAGCUGCUUUAUUAAAAAACCGUACUGAAUCCGACACAGGUGGAUAGGUUGAGUAAACUAAGGUGCUUGAACGAACUUUGUUGAAGGAACUCGGCAAAAUAACCCCGUAACUUCGGGAGAAGGGGUGACUUUUUCGGGGCAACCCGUAAAAGUUGACACAAAAAUGGAGGUAGCGACUGUUUAAUAAAAACACAGGUUUCUGCUAAUUUGUAAAAAGAUGUAUAGAAACUGACACCUGCCCGGUGCUGCAAGGUAAAUAAAUUAUUGUUUUGGCUUUAAUUUUAAACCCCAGUAAACGGCGGCGGUAACUCUGACCGUCCAAAGGUAGCGAAAUUCUUUGUCGGGUAAGUUCCGACCUGCAUGAAUGGUGUAACGACUUCCUUACUGUCUCCAACAAAGCUUCAGUGAAAUUGAAAUUCCUGUGAAGAUGCAGGUUAUACGCAGCAAGACGGAAAGACCCCGUGCACUUUUACUAUAAGCAUACACCGCGAUCAGUUUUAAAUUGUGUAGAUAUAAGUGGGAGUUGUUUGAAACUUUUACGUAAGUAAAUUGUUUAGGCGCUAGUGAAAUACCACUCUUUUUUCAAUUAUUCGCUCACUUCAAAUGAAGGACUCUGUAUGCUUGGUAGUUUCGCUGGGGCGGCGACCUCCUAAAAAGUAACGGAGGUGCGCAAAGGUAAACUUAAAUAAUUAAAAUUAUUUUUAAGCGUAAUAGUAAUGUUUGCCUGACUGUAAGAUUGAUAAAUCGCGCAGAGACGAAAGUCGGUUAUAUUGAUCCGGUGGUUUUUAGUGGAAAAGCCAUCGCCAACAAAUAAAAAGUACGCCGGGGAUAACAGGCUGAUGCCUCCCUAGAGCUCUUA
Molecule: ribosomal RNA, 1267 nt
Filed under: uncultured Florenciella
Lineage: Eukaryota; Dictyochophyceae; Florenciellales
Description: partial Bacterial large subunit ribosomal RNA
Rfam family: Bacterial large subunit ribosomal RNA
Source: RNAcentral